AACAUUUACCAUAAGUAAAGAUGAUCGCAUUAAUGAGGCUCACCUUCGCUUUCACUCUUGUGGCUGUACUAUUUUGCUUAAUAGAUUUGAGUGAAGCUAACUAUAAGAACGCUCCCAUGAAUGGCAUCAUGUUUGGAAAGAGAGGACCUUCAGAAUACGACUCCAGAGGUAAAACUUUGACAGCUCUGUGUGAAAUCGCAAUAGAAGCGUGCCAGACUUGGUUUCCUUUGCAAGAAAAUAAAUAGAAACAAUUUUUAUGAACAUGGACGACGAGACAAUAUCAACAAGAAUACAUAAAAA
Nymphalis io (European peacock) is the source of this 300-nucleotide long non-coding RNA. RefSeq lists it as uncharacterized. The transcript has 3 exons. The record is from RefSeq and is a predicted model, not a curated record. Lineage: Eukaryota; Metazoa; Arthropoda; Insecta; Lepidoptera; Nymphalidae.